This 253-nucleotide ribosomal RNA is filed under the name uncultured bacterium. RNAcentral describes it as "partial 16S ribosomal RNA". It matches the Rfam family "Bacterial small subunit ribosomal RNA", at positions 524 to 776 of the family's 1533-position model. The record is from RNAcentral.
UACGUAGGGUGCGAGCGUUAAUCGGAAUUACUGGGCGUAAAGGGUGCGCAGGCGGUUGAUUAAGUCAGAUGUGAAAUCCCCGGGCUUAACCUGGGAAUGGCAUUUGAGACUGGUUGGCUAGAGUGUGUCAGAGGGGGGUAGAAUUCCACGUGUAGCAGUGAAAUGCGUAGAGAUGUGGAGGAAUACCGAUGGCGAAGGCAGCCCCCUGGGAUAACACUGACGCUCAGGCACGAAAGCGUGGGGAGCAAACAGG